CUCAAAAUUUCGCCGCCCCAAUUUCCCCCCAAAAUCGAAAAUUUCAGGAAAAUCCAUCAAACCCCUCCUCUCCCCAAACCCAAACCCCAACCCCAACAUCCUCCUCUUGUUCCGUUCCAUCUCCUCCCUGAGCCCGUCCCAAAACCCUAGCAGCCUUAGCGGCCCCCCUCCCUCGACCUCCGCCGGGUUCAGCACCGACGACCAACUCUUCCUCCUCCGACGACUCUUCUGGCUUUUUUUUGAGGUUUUCUCCCCCUUGUCGCCUGAUCGCUGAGAUUCCUCCUCCAUUUGAGGAGGAGGAGGACAGGAAGGAGUCGGGGAGCGCGAAUUUUGAGCGAGGGCCUUUUGGAGCCUGGAAUUCGAAGUGAAAUCUUAACUAGUUCAGUUCACAUGCCGGAGCCUCGAGGAUUGGUUUCGCCUUCGAUUUCGUCUUCGACUUCUCGAUCUCUGCACUCUAUCUCUGUUAUUGAAAUUGUUUCAUAUGCUCACUGCUGUUAUUACAUUUGUGGAGUUCCUUGCAGUGUCAGUCAUUUGUUCCCUAUAUAUGAGAUUUAUUGUAUAGAAAAAAAAUUAUGUUUAUAGUUCUGAUAUUGUAUAUCUUGUUGUAUAUGCUCCACCAAGCUGGAGGUGUGUAACAUGCUAGCAAUUACUCUGGA
Long non-coding RNA from Asparagus officinalis (garden asparagus), 656 nucleotides. RefSeq lists it as uncharacterized. The record is from RefSeq and is a predicted model, not a curated record. The transcript has 2 exons. NCBI's taxonomy places the organism in Eukaryota, Viridiplantae, Streptophyta, Magnoliopsida, Asparagales, Asparagaceae.